This 253-nucleotide ribosomal RNA is filed under the name uncultured bacterium. Its description in RNAcentral is "partial 16S ribosomal RNA". It matches the Rfam family "Bacterial small subunit ribosomal RNA", at positions 524 to 776 of the family's 1533-position model. The record is from RNAcentral.
UACGUAGGGGGCUAGCGUUGUCCGGAAUCAUUGGGCGUAAAGCGCGUGUAGGCGGUUCGGUAAGUCCGCUGUGAAAGUCGGGGGCUCAACCCUCGGAUGCCGGUGGAUACUGUCGGACUAGAGUGCGGAAGAGGCGAGUGGAAUUCCUGGUGUAGCGGUGGAAUGCGCAGAUAUCAGGAGGAACACCAAUAGCGAAGGCAGCUCGCUGGGACGGUACUGACGCUAUGGCGCGAAAGCGUGGGGAGCGAACAGG